RNAcentral lists this ribosomal RNA (255 nucleotides) under uncultured bacterium. RNAcentral's name for it is "partial 16S ribosomal RNA". It matches the Rfam family "Bacterial small subunit ribosomal RNA", at positions 524 to 776 of the family's 1533-position model. The record is from RNAcentral.
UACGUAGGGGGCAAGCGUUGUCCGGAUUUAUUGGGCGUAAAGAGCGUGUAGGCGGCCAAGCAGGUCAGCUGUGAAAAACAUCGAGGCUCAACCUCGAGACGUCGGUUGAAACCGCUUGGCUAGAGUCCGGAAGAGGAGAGUGGAAUUCCCGGUGUAGCGGUGAAAUGCGCAGAUAUCGGGAAGAACACCCGUGGCGAAGGCGGCCAGCUGGGCCAGGUCCGACACUGAGGCGCGAAAGCGUGGGGAGCAAACAGG